This 338-nucleotide unclassified non-coding RNA is filed under the name soil metagenome. Its description in RNAcentral is "partial contains 5.8S ribosomal RNA, internal transcribed spacer 2, and large subunit ribosomal RNA". The stretch from base 1 to 120 matches the Rfam family "5.8S ribosomal RNA", at positions 35 to 154 of the family's 154-position model. The record is from RNAcentral.
GAUGAAGAACGUAGCGAAAUGCGAUAAGUAAUGCGAAUUGCAGAAUUCCGUGAGUCAUCGAAUCUUUGAACGCACAUUGCGCCCUCUGGUAUUCCGGAGGGCAUGCCUGUCUGAGCGUCAUUGUCAACCCUCAAGCUCGGCUUGCUGUUGGGUCCCCGUCGUUGCCUUACGGCGGACCCGAAAGAUAAUGGCAGAGUCCGUAAGACCCUGGAUGCAGCGAGCUUCUAGCACGCGUCUGGACGGUUUACGGGCUUGGUCUUAACCAGAUGAUAACCUCUGAUUGACCUCAGAUCAGGUAGGGAUACCCGCUGAACUUAAGCAUAUCAAUAAGCGGAGGA